UACGUAGGGUCCGAGCGUUGUCCGGAAUUACUGGGCGUAAAGAGCUCGUAGGUGGUUUGUCGCGUUGUUCGUGAAAACUCACAGCUCAACUGUGGGCGUGCGGGCGAUACGGGCAGACUUGAGUACUGCAGGGGAGACUGGAAUUCCUGGUGUAGCGGUGGAAUGCGCAGAUAUCAGGAGGAACACCGGUGGCGAAGGCGGGUCUCUGGGCAGUAGCUGACACUGAGGCGCGACAGCGUGGGGAGCAAACAGG
Molecule: ribosomal RNA, 253 nt
Filed under: uncultured bacterium
Lineage: Bacteria
Description: partial 16S ribosomal RNA
Rfam family: Bacterial small subunit ribosomal RNA
Source: RNAcentral